RNAcentral lists this ribosomal RNA (433 nucleotides) under uncultured bacterium. Its description in RNAcentral is "partial 16S ribosomal RNA". It matches the Rfam family "Bacterial small subunit ribosomal RNA", at positions 29 to 507 of the family's 1533-position model. The record is from RNAcentral.
AACGAACGCUGGCGGCAUGCCUAAUACAUGCAAGUCGAACGAGAUCUUCGGAUCUAGUGGCGCACGGGUGCGUAACGCGUGGGAAUCUGCCCUUGGGUUCGGAAUAACUUCUGGAAACGGAAGCUAAUACCGGAUGAUGACGUAAGUCCAAAGAUUUAUCGCCCAAGGAUGAGCCCGCGUAGGAUUAGCUAGUUGGUGGGGUAAAGGCCCACCAAGGCGACGAUCCUUAGCUGGUCUGUGAGGAUGAUCAGCCACACUGGGACUGAGACACGGCCCAGACUCCUACGGGAGGCAGCAGUAGGGAAUAUUGGACAAUCGGGGGAACCCUGAUCCAGCAAUGCCGCGUGAGUGAUGAAGGCCUUAGGGUUGUAAAGCUCUUUUACCCGGGAUGAUAAUGACAGUACCGGGAGAAUAAGCUCCGGCUAACUCCGUG